This 157-nucleotide ribosomal RNA is filed under the name Phialophora mustea. RNAcentral's name for it is "5.8S ribosomal RNA". It matches the Rfam family "5.8S ribosomal RNA". From Rfam's summary of the family: 5.8S ribosomal RNA (5.8S rRNA) is a component of the large subunit of the eukaryotic ribosome. It is transcribed by RNA polymerase I as part of the 45S precursor that also contains 18S and 28S rRNA. Functionally, it is thought that 5.8S rRNA may be involved in ribosome translocation. Lineage: Eukaryota; Fungi; Ascomycota; Eurotiomycetes; Chaetothyriales; Herpotrichiellaceae. The record is from RNAcentral.
AACUUUCAACAACGGAUCUCUUGGUUCUGGCAUCGAUGAAGAACGCGGCGAAAUGCGAUACGUAAUGUGAAUUGCAGAAUUCAGUGAAUCAUCGAAUCUUUGAACGCACAUUGCGCCCGCCAGCAUUCUGGCGGGCAUGCCUGUUCGAGCGUCAUUU